Molecule: ribosomal RNA, 2860 nt
Filed under: Salmonella enterica subsp. enterica serovar Dublin
Lineage: Bacteria; Pseudomonadati; Pseudomonadota; Gammaproteobacteria; Enterobacterales; Enterobacteriaceae
Description: bacterial LSU rRNA
Rfam family: Bacterial large subunit ribosomal RNA
Source: RNAcentral
GGGUUGUGAGGUUAAGCGACUAAGCGUACACGGUGGAUGCCCUGGCAGUCAGAGGCGAUGAAGGGCGUGCUAAUCUGCGAUAAGCGCCGGUAAGGUGAUAUGAACCGUUAUAACCGGCGAUACCCGAAUGGGGAAACCCAGUGUGAUUCGUCACACUAUCAUUAACUGAAUCCAUAGGUUAAUGAGGCGAACCGGGGGAACUGAAACAUCUAAGUACCCCGAGGAAAAGAAAUCAACCGAGAUUCCCCCAGUAGCGGCGAGCGAACGGGGAGGAGCCCAGAGCCUGAAUCAGCAUGUGUGUUAGUGGAAGCGUCUGGAAAGGCGCGCGAUACAGGGUGACAGCCCCGUACACAAAAGCGCAUGUGCUGUGAGCUCGAUGAGUAGGGCGGGACACGUGGUAUCCUGUCUGAAUAUGGGGGGACCAUCCUCCAAGGCUAAAUACUCCUGACUGACCGAUAGUGAACCAGUACCGUGAGGGAAAGGCGAAAAGAACCCCGGCGAGGGGAGUGAAAAAGAACCUGAAACCGUGUACGUACAAGCAGUGGGAGCNNGUGACUGCGUACCUUUUGUAUAAUGGGUCAGCGACUUAUAUUCUGUAGCAAGGUUAACCGAAUAGGGGAGCCGGAGGGAAACCGAGUCUUAACCGGGCGUUAAGUUGCAGGGUAUAGACCCGAAACCCGGUGAUCUAGCCAUGGGCAGGUUGAAGGUUGGGUAACACUAACUGGAGGACCGAACCGACUAAUGUUGAAAAAUUAGCGGAUGACCUGUGGCUGGGGGUGAAAGGCCAAUCAAACCGGGAGAUAGCUGGUUCUCCCCGAAAGCUAUUUAGGUAGCGCCUCGUGAAUUCAUCUCCGGGGGUAGAGCACUGUUUCGGCUAGGGGGCCAUCCCGGCUUACCAACCCGAUGCAAACUGCGAAUACCGGAGAAUGUUAUCACGGGAGACACACGGCGGGUGCUAACGUCCGUCGUGAAGAGGGAAACAACCCAGACCGCCAGCUAAGGUCCCAAAGUCAUGGUUAAGUGGGAAACGAUGUGGGAAGGCCCAGACAGCCAGGAUGUUGGCUUAGAAGCAGCCAUCAUUUAAAGAAAGCGUAAUAGCUCACUGGUCGAGUCGGCCUGCGCGGAAGAUGUAACGGGGCUAAACCAUGCACCGAAGCUGCGGCAGCGANNGUUGGGUAGGGGAGCGUUCUGUAAGCCUGUGAAGGUGGCCUGUGAGGGUUGCUGGAGGUAUCAGAAGUGCGAAUGCUGACAUAAGUAACGAUAAAGCGGGUGAAAAGCCCGCUCGCCGGAAGACCAAGGGUUCCUGUCCAACGUUAAUCGGGGCAGGGUGAGUCGACCCCUAAGGCGAGGCCGAAAGGCGUAGUCGAUGGGAAACGGGUUAAUAUUCCCGUACUUGGUGUUACUGCGAAGGGGGGACGGAGAAGGCUAUGUUGGCCGGGCGACGGUUGUCCCGGUUUAAGCGUGUAGGUGUGUGUUCCAGGUAAAUCCGGUUCACUUUAACACUGAGGCGUGAUGACGAGGCACUACGGUGCUGAAGUAACAAAUGCCCUGCUUCCAGGAAAAGCCUCUAAGCAUCAGGUAACAUCAAAUCGUACCCCAAACCGACACAGGUGGUCAGGUAGAGAAUACCAAGGCGCUUGAGAGAACUCGGGUGAAGGAACUAGGCAAAAUGGUGCCGUAACUUCGGGAGAAGGCACGCUGACACGUAGGUGAAGUGAUUUACUCAUGGAGCUGAAGUCAGUCGAAGAUACCAGCUGGCUGCAACUGUUUAUUAAAAACACAGCACUGUGCAAACACGAAAGUGGACGUAUACGGUGUGACGCCUGCCCGGUGCCGGAAGGUUAAUUGAUGGGGUCAGCGCAAGCGAAGCUCCUGAUCGAAGCCCCGGUAAACGGCGGCCGUAACUAUAACGGUCCUAAGGUAGCGAAAUUCCUUGUCGGGUAAGUUCCGACCUGCACGAAUGGCGUAAUGAUGGCCAGGCUGUCUCCACCCGAGACUCAGUGAAAUUGAACUCGCUGUGAAGAUGCAGUGUACCCGCGGCAAGACGGAAAGACCCCGUGAACCUUUACUAUAGCUUGACACUGAACAUUGAGCCUUGAUGUGUAGGAUAGGUGGGAGGCUUUGAAGCGUGGACGCCAGUCUGCGUGGAGCCGACCUUGAAAUACCACCCUUUAAUGUUUGAUGUUCUAACGUGGACCCGUGAUCCGGGUUGCGGACAGUGUCUGGUGGGUAGUUUGACUGGGGCGGUCUCCUCCUAAAGAGUAACGGAGGAGCACGAAGGUUGGCUAAUCCUGGUCGGACAUCAGGAGGUUAGUGCAAUGGCAUAAGCCAGCUUGACUGCGAGCGUGACGGCGCGAGCAGGUGCGAAAGCAGGUCAUAGUGAUCCGGUGGUUCUGAAUGGAAGGGCCAUCGCUCAACGGAUAAAAGGUACUCCGGGGAUAACAGGCUGAUACCGCCCAAGAGUUCAUAUCGACGGCGGUGUUUGGCACCUCGAUGUCGGCUCAUCACAUCCUGGGGCUGAAGUAGGUCCCAAGGGUAUGGCUGUUCGCCAUUUAAAGUGGUACGCGAGCUGGGUUUAGAACGUCGUGAGACAGUUCGGUCCCUAUCUGCCGUGGGCGCUGGAGAACUGAGGGGGGCUGCUCCUAGUACGAGAGGACCGGAGUGGACGCAUCACUGGUGUUCGGGUUGUCAUGCCAAUGGCACUGCCCGGUAGCUAAAUGCGGAAGAGAUAAGUGCUGAAAGCAUCUAAGCACGAAACUUGCCCCGAGAUGAGUUCUCCCUGAGACUUAGAGUCUCCUGAAGGAACGUUGAAGACGACGACGUUGAUAGGCCGGGUGUGUAAGCGCAGCGAUGCGUUGAG